RNAcentral lists this ribosomal RNA (396 nucleotides) under uncultured bacterium. RNAcentral's name for it is "partial 16S ribosomal RNA". It matches the Rfam family "Bacterial small subunit ribosomal RNA", at positions 523 to 918 of the family's 1533-position model. The record is from RNAcentral.
AUACGUAGGGGGCAAGCGUUAUCCGGAUUUACUGGGUGUAAAGGGAGCGUAGACGGCAAAGCAAGUCUGAAGUGAAAGCCCCGGGCUCAACCCGGGAAUUGCUUUGGAAACUGUUUAGCUGGAGUGCAGGAGAGGUAAGCGGAAUUCCUAGUGUAGCGGUGAAAUGCGUAGAUAUUAGGAGGAACACCGGCGGCGAAGGCGGCUUACUGGACUGUAACUGACGUUGAGGCUCGAAAGCGUGGGGAGCAAACAGGAUUAGAUUCCCUGGUAGUCCACGCCGUAAACGAUGAUUACUAGGUGUUGGUUGUCAUAGACAAUCGGUGCCGCAGCAAACGCAAUAAGUAAUCCACCUGGGGAGUACGUUCGCAAGAAUGAAACUCAAAGGAAUUGACGGGG